Molecule: transfer RNA, 72 nt
Filed under: Hariotina reticulata
Lineage: Eukaryota; Viridiplantae; Chlorophyta; Chlorophyceae; Sphaeropleales; Scenedesmaceae
Also listed under: 1 other name
Description: tRNA-His
Rfam family: tRNA
About the family: Transfer RNA (tRNA) molecules are approximately 80 nucleotides in length. Their secondary structure includes four short double-helical elements and three loops (D, anti-codon, and T loops). Further hydrogen bonds mediate the characteristic L-shaped molecular structure. tRNAs have two regions of fundamental functional importance: the anti-codon, which is responsible for specific mRNA codon recognition, and the 3' end, to which the tRNAs corresponding amino acid is attached (by aminoacyl-tRNA synthetases). tRNAs cope with the degeneracy of the genetic code in two manners: having more than one tRNA (with a specific anti-codon) for a particular amino acid; and 'wobble' base-pairing, i.e. permitting non-standard base-pairing at the 3rd anti-codon position.
Source: RNAcentral
GCGGGCGUAGCCAAGUGGUAAGGCAAUGGAUUGUGACUCCAUCACUCGCGGGUUCAAACCCCGUCGUUCGCC